Erinaceus europaeus (western European hedgehog) is the source of this 2585-nucleotide long non-coding RNA. RefSeq lists it as uncharacterized. The record is from RefSeq and is a predicted model, not a curated record. Lineage: Eukaryota; Metazoa; Chordata; Mammalia; Eulipotyphla; Erinaceidae. The transcript is spliced from 4 exons.
CACCUGUUAUCUGCCAUGUAAGCAUUGAAUUCAUGGAGUGGUUCUUGAACUUUGGAGGAAAAAAAAAAAAAAAGAAAAGGAAAGUUCUUCCUUCCGGCCGCCCCUUAGUAAAUGACUGUUGUGAAGAAGAUCCAUUCUGGCGGAGAAAGUCGUGUGCCGAGUGCUCACCGUGGUCAGGCUUUAGUCCUCUUGGGGUUUUGUAGAAGAUGCAGGGUUCUCUCUCAGAAUGCAGGUAUGCAGAACUCCAGGUCUGAGAAACAUCUGUGAAGCACUGAUCUGCCCUCUGAAUUUUCUCCUCAUAAAGUGAUAGCGAACGGAAGUCAUGGAUUCCGUGGUUUUUGUAGUUCAGAAAUGAGCACAGUAGUCGGGUCUUCUCUGAGACUUCUGUGUCUGGAGACGCCGAGAUAGUGUUGGCCACCGGUCCGUGACUGCAGCUUGGAGACCUUAGGGAGGCGGAGACCCUGCUGACUGCUGUGUGGGAAGCCGGCCUGGGGACACCGAGCAGGAGAUUGAGUCAUUUUCCUGUUGUCUAGAAAUGUCUGCACUGCAGAGCAGAUACUGCCAAACGUGCAGAGAUUCGGGGCCUCCUUACACUUUGGAUCCACUUUCGGAAGGCCAGGAAGAAAUAGAUGUUGGGAGCAAACAAAGCCGGGAAGGAUUUGUCUGUCAGUCGAACUUGAGUGCUGUUGAGCACUACUCCAGUAUUCCUGUUCCAAACCCACAUGUGUGGAAAAGUAGCAUGAUCCGCUAGUCAGCAGAAUGAAAAUCCUUAGGAUUUAUCUUAACUCGAUUGGACAAAACCAUACCGACCCCAGAUGUAGUAUUUGGUCUUUGUCCCCUUUGCUUCUCUCCUUGUUUCUUGACGUCACUGCCCCUGACCCCUCACUUGCUCCGCUGUACCCUCCCUCUUUACUUUCUUCUUCUUCAGGAUCGUGACGACGAGAAGUUCGGAGGGCUGUGUGCUAAGGGCACAGUCCCUUAACUCCUCAAGACGGUGACGCCAUGCCACACUCAGCGGAUUGCUCCAAGAACUGCCACGACUUCCCGCCUCCCACCCAGCGUAGACAUCCCCUGAUGCAGUGUGCUGCCACGUGGUGGGGCUUCUUCUUGUCUUCUCUUGUCUUUCUCUGGGUUUGUGCCUUGCCUUGGGAGCUUGUCUGUCUGGGCUUCAGCUUAACUCACUUGACAUGAUUCCUUCAAGCUCCGUCCGAGAUGAAGAAAGAGAAAUCGCCAUUUUUAAUGGCUGAGUAGUAUUCCACUUUGUAUCUAGACCACAACUUGCUCAGCCACUCUUCUGUUGUUGGACACGUGGGUUGCUUCCAGGUUUUGGCUAUCAUAAAUUGUGCUGCUUUGAGCAUAGGUGCACACAGAUCUUUUUGGAUGGAUGUGUUGGAUUCCUUAGGAUCUAUCCCCAGGAGAGGAAUUGCAGGGUCAUAGGUCAUAGGGUCAGAGAGUUCUCCAGACUACUCUCCACAGAGGUUGGACCCAUUGACACUCCCACCAGCAGUGCAGGAGGGUUCCUUUGUCCCCACACCCUCUCCAGCAUCUGUUGCUGCUGUUACCUUUUCUGGUGUGUGCCAUUCUCACGGGGUGAGUGGUAUUUCAUUGUCUUUAUUUGCAUUUCUCUAACAGUCAGUGACUUGGAGCAUUUUUGUCUUAUGCCUGUUGGCCUUUUGGAUCUCUUCUGUGGAGAAUAUUCUGUCAUGUCCUCUCUCCAUUUUUGGAUGGGAUCAUCUGUUUUCUUGUUGCUGAGUUUGGUGAGCUUUUUGUAUAUUUUGGCUACUAACCUCUUGUCUGAUGUAUGACAUGUAAAGAUCUCCCAUCCUGUCUAGAGUUCUCUUUGUUUGGGUGGUGGUUUCUUUUGCUGUGUAAAAGUUUUUCAAUUUGUUGUAGUCCCAUUGGUUUAUUUUUAUUUGUUUUCCUGGCAGUUGGACUUAUGUCAUUGAAGAUACCUAUAAACAAUAAAAGAAGCAAGUUAUUUCCGUGCUGUAAAUCCUAGAAUAAAAAUUUUUGUUGACUUUGGCAAGCAAUGCUUGGCAGGCAAACCAUUCAUAAAAAUAAAAACACAGGGAAUCGGGCAGUAGCGCAGCGGGUUAAGCGCACGUGGCGCAAAGUGCAAGGACCGGCUAAGGAUCCCGGUUCGAGCCCCGGCUCCCCACCUGCAGAGGAGUCACUUUACAGGCAGUGAAGCAGGUCUGCAGGUGUCUAUCUUUCUGCCUCCCCCUCCCGUCUUCCCCUCCUCUCUCCAUUUCUCUCUGUCCUAUCCAACAACAACAAUAACUACCACAAUAAAACAAGGGUAACAAAAAGGAAUAAAUAUUAAAAAUAAGUAAAUAAAAUAAAAAUAAAAACAUAAGGCUGAUAAAAUAGCUCAUGUGCACAGCCCAGGGCCCAGCCUGCCCCCCCCCCCAAGAAAGCAUCAGGGGCGCGCAGGAUGUGUUACAGAGUGUAUCGUCGCACACAGGCCAUACUUCCUACCCAGGCGGCGCAGGCUGCAGUUACACAGCAGUGGAACUGGACGUUUGCGUGCCCUGUGCCAUCUGCCACGGCUGGUUUCCAUUCACGCCAGAGCCACACUGCUGGCU